CCCGCACAAGCGGUGGAGCAUGUGGUUUAAUUCGAUGCAACGCGAAGAACCUUACCUGGACUUGACAUCCCGGGAAUCUCCUGGAAACAGGAGAGUGCCUUUGGGAACCCGGAGACAGGUGCUGCAUGGCUGUCGUCAGCUCGUGUCGUGAGAUGUUGGGUUAAGUCCCGCAACGAGCGCAACCCUUGUCUUUAAUUGCCAGCAUUCAGUUGGGUACUUUAGAGAGACUGCCGGUGUUAAACCGGAGGAAGGUGGGGAUGACGUCAAGUCCUCAUGGCCUUUAUGUCCAGGGCUACACACGUGCUACAAUGGAUGGUACAAAGAGCAGCGAUCUCGCGAGAGGGAGCAAAUCUCAAAAACCCAUCCUCAGUUCGGAUUGGAGUCUGCAACUCGACUCCAUGAAGUUGGAAUCGCUAGUAAUCGCGGAUCAGCAUGCCGCGGUCGAAUACGUUCCCGGGCCUU
Molecule: ribosomal RNA, 462 nt
Filed under: uncultured Syntrophus sp.
Lineage: Bacteria; Pseudomonadati; Thermodesulfobacteriota; Syntrophia; Syntrophales; Syntrophaceae
Description: bacterial SSU rRNA
Rfam family: Bacterial small subunit ribosomal RNA
Source: RNAcentral